AAAAUCUCAGAUUAAUAAACAAAAGGCAGAUGGAGCGCGCCGAACAUGCGAGUGAAGCCACCAAAGCGAAUACAAAAUCAAAAGCGAAUACAAAGUCGCAGCAGUGCUAAAUAUAGCGUUGUAUUGUUUAAACGUAUCGAGUGAUUCAUUAUUUUUUGUCAAAAAAUGCCGUCUUGUGUUAUUAAAUAUUGUAAAAGUUGUUCCCAAAAACAAAAAAAAAGGAUGGAAUUUCAUUUCACAGAUUGCCGACAGAUGUUGUUCUACGCGAGGAAUGGGUUUCUAUUAUUCGCCAAAGCAGGCAAGACAAUAAUUGGCAGGCAUCAAUAUUUUGCGUUGUGUGUUCAUUACAUUUUAAAGAGGAUGGCUUAUGCUUUACCGAAAAAUGUCGAAGGUUGAUAAAAAAAUUCCAAUGUAAUUAUUUGUAAUACUAUCUAAUCUUUUGGUCUAGUCUUUAACUUGUCUGUAUAUCGAUGUAUGUGUGUGUGUGAAUAAAUGAUUAUUAUUAUUAUUAUUAUUAUUAAUAAAUAUUUUGAAUUAUGUAUGUUUUUUUAAAUCUGUCCAAUGAAAUAAAUAUGAUACUACUGAAAAACACUAAAGUUUUAUUAUCUAGUAUUGUAAACAGUGUAAAGUCCAUUUAAACCUUAUUAAACAAAAACAAAAUUAAUACCCGAAGCAAAGUGUGGACGGACCGCUAGUUAUAAAAAUUUUGACAUAUUACCUAUUUCUUUUGUUAUUUUAACGAAACCUUUAAUUUAAU
RNAcentral lists this unclassified non-coding RNA (757 nucleotides) under Melitaea cinxia (Glanville fritillary). RNAcentral's name for it is "misc RNA ENSMCXG00005003437.1". The record is from RNAcentral. Lineage: Eukaryota; Metazoa; Arthropoda; Insecta; Lepidoptera; Nymphalidae.